GAUUCGGUGCCCAGCAUCCGCCUGCGCGCCGGCUCCGCUUCUCCCACGAGCCGCGCGUGGGCGGCGCCGAGCCUGACCCCGCGUAGACCCGCCGGCCGCGCAGGCCCCGCUCGCACGGCCCAGAGGGGCCGUGGGAAAGUUUCCCCCCGCCUGUGCUCAGCCCCUUACCGGAGCAACCAAAGUCUGUGCUUUCUCCCCAGCCUUCACCUAGCGCCUCUGGAGUGCAGACUCUAAGCUCUGUGCAGCGUCUGUUCCCAGCUUAAAAUCGGCAGACGUCCUGAUGGCCACCCCUCCUCAUCCCUGACUCUAAAGGUGGCACCGCUACCUGGGUUCAGUUUUCCCUCCUGAUGUGUCUCUGUCGCUUACCUUCUGGUGACUGGGGGUUCCACCCAUGCGCAACCGAGAUUAACCGCUAAAGAGAUCUGACUCUUGGCAAAUUGCAGUUGAGAGGUGCAGUGCACAUUUUGAAAGAAAGGCAGCUGCAGUUCAAGGCUGUGGUGUACAAGUGUGCCGUAAAUGGUGUCCCAGCAAAGAGCAAUACACUUUAGGGAGGUGACAAAGGAAAACAGCUCCAGGCUGUAACAGCUCACUCUGUGAAGACAGCAAGCACUGAAUUUCGGACUGCCAUCUACUCUCCCUACAAAAGACUAAAGCUUCAGGGUAUCUUAGCAUUUAAAGUCAUGGUCUUAAACACCAUGAAAACACAAUCUACAGAUUUACCAAAACAUUAGCACUUGCAUUGUCUGAAUUAUUUCAUGCAGCUCUUUGUGGAUUUCAGUAUUAUGAAUGGUUGUCUCUCCUGUCCUUUGUUGAAGUAAUCCCAAGUUUUCAGCUAAUAAUCUCAUCUGCUAAUUUUACUGCUCGCUACUUGGUGAAUAAAGAAACCUAUAUUAUCAACUCCCUGAAGAAAAAGGUAUGAGACUUGCUCAGAUGGAAUACAACUUGUAUGGCAAAGUUCUU
Peromyscus eremicus (cactus mouse) is the source of this 960-nucleotide long non-coding RNA. RefSeq lists it as uncharacterized. The record is from RefSeq and is a predicted model, not a curated record. Lineage: Eukaryota; Metazoa; Chordata; Mammalia; Rodentia; Cricetidae. The transcript is spliced from 3 exons.